UACAGAGACUGCAAGCGUUAUUCGGAUUCACUGGGCGUAAAGGGUGCGCAGGCGGCCAAGCGUGUGAGGCGUGAAAGCCCGGGGCUUAACCCCGGAAUUGCACGUCAAACUACAUGGCUAGAGCAUUGGAGAGGGUAGCAGAAUUCACGGUGUAGCAGUGAAAUGCGUAGAUAUCGGGAGGAACACCGGUGGCGAAGGCGGUUCUCUGGGCCUGUACUGACGCUGAUGCGCGAAAGCCAGGGGAGCAAACGGG
RNAcentral lists this ribosomal RNA (253 nucleotides) under uncultured bacterium. Its description in RNAcentral is "partial 16S ribosomal RNA". It matches the Rfam family "Bacterial small subunit ribosomal RNA", at positions 524 to 776 of the family's 1533-position model. The record is from RNAcentral.